RNAcentral lists this ribosomal RNA (375 nucleotides) under uncultured bacterium. RNAcentral's name for it is "bacterial SSU rRNA". It matches the Rfam family "Bacterial small subunit ribosomal RNA", at positions 524 to 898 of the family's 1533-position model. The record is from RNAcentral.
UACGUAGGGAGCGAGCGUUGUCUGGAUUUAUUGGGUGUAAAGGGUGCGUAGGCGGCUAUAUAAGUCAGGCGUGUAAUUCAGAGGCUUAACCUCUGAACUGCGUUUGAAACUGUAUGGCUUGAGUGGAGUAGAGGCAGAUGGAAUUUCCAGUGUAGCGGUGAAAUGCGUAGAUAUUGGAAGGAACACCAGUGGCGAAGGCGAUCUGCUGGGCUCAAACUGACGCUGAGGCACGAAAGCAUGGGGAGCAAACAGGAUUAGAUACCCUGGUAGUCCAUGCCGUAAACGAUGAUUACUAGGUGUGGGGGGACUGGCCCCUUCCGUGCCGGAGUUAACACAAUAAGUAAUCCACCUGGGAAGUACGAUCGCAAGGUUGAA